UAGUGGCGGACGGGUGAGUAACGCGUGGGUAACCUGCCAUAUACAGGGGGAUAACACUUAGAAAUAGGUGCUAAUACCGCAUAAGCGCACAGGGGCGCAUGCCCCGGUGUGAAAAACUCCGGUGGUAUAUGAUGGACCCGCGUCUGAUUAGCCAGUUGGCAGGGUAACGGCCUACCAAAGCGACGAUCAGUAGCCGGCCUGAGAGGGUGAACGGCCACAUUGGGACUGAGACACGGCCCAAACUCCUACGGGAGGCAGCAG
This 261-nucleotide ribosomal RNA is filed under the name uncultured bacterium. RNAcentral describes it as "partial 16S ribosomal RNA". It matches the Rfam family "Bacterial small subunit ribosomal RNA", at positions 93 to 354 of the family's 1533-position model. The record is from RNAcentral.